RNAcentral lists this transfer RNA (65 nucleotides) under Brachionus koreanus. RNAcentral's name for it is "tRNA-Ile". Lineage: Eukaryota; Metazoa; Rotifera; Eurotatoria; Ploima; Brachionidae. The record is from RNAcentral. RNAcentral also lists the same sequence under 1 other name.
AUAGUUAUGUCAGAUAAAAUGAAUUAUGUUGAUGUCAUAAAAUAUACUUUUAAAAGUUAACUAUA